UACGGGGGGGGCAAGCGUUGUUCGGAAUUACUGGGCGUAAAGGGCUCGUCGGCGGCCAACUAAGUCAGACGUGAAAUCCCUCGGCUUAACCGGGGAACUGCAUCUGAUACUGGAUGGCUUGAGGUUGGGAGAGGGAUGCGGAAUUCCAGGUGUAGCGGUGAAAUGCGUAGAUAUCUGGAGGAACACCGGUGGCGAAGGCGGCAUCCUGGACCAAUUCUGACACUGAGGAGCGAAAGCCAGGGGAGCAAACGGG
Molecule: ribosomal RNA, 253 nt
Filed under: uncultured bacterium
Lineage: Bacteria
Description: partial 16S ribosomal RNA
Rfam family: Bacterial small subunit ribosomal RNA
Source: RNAcentral